GACGAACGCUGGCGGCGUGCUUAACACAUGCAAGUCGAACGGUGAAGCGCCUUCCUUUUUGGUGGGUGUGGAUGAGUGGCGAACGGGUGAGUAACACGUGAGUAACCUGCCCCCUUCUUCUGGAUAACCGCAUGAAAGUGUGGCUAAUACGGGAUAUUCUGGGUCUGUCGCAUGAUGGGUCUGGGAAAGAUAUUGUUUCGGUGGGGGAUGGGCUCGCGGCCUAUCAGCUUGUUGGUGGGGUGAUGGCCUACCAAGGCGGUGACGGGUAGCCGGCCUGAGAGGGUGGACGGUCACACUGGGACUGAGGCACGGCCCAGACUCCUACGGGAGGCAGAAGUGGGUAAUAUUGCACAAUGGGCGCAAGCCUGAUGCAGCGACGCCGCGUGAGGGAUGGAGGCCUUCGGGUUGUGAACCUCUUUCGCCAGUGAAGCAGGCCUGCCUCGUUUGUGGGUGGGUUGACGGUAGCUGGAUAAGAAGCGCCGGCUAACUACGUG
This 494-nucleotide ribosomal RNA is filed under the name uncultured bacterium. RNAcentral's name for it is "partial 16S ribosomal RNA". It matches the Rfam family "Bacterial small subunit ribosomal RNA", at positions 28 to 507 of the family's 1533-position model. The record is from RNAcentral.